This 468-nucleotide ribosomal RNA is filed under the name uncultured bacterium. Its description in RNAcentral is "partial 16S ribosomal RNA". It matches the Rfam family "Bacterial small subunit ribosomal RNA", at positions 28 to 507 of the family's 1533-position model. The record is from RNAcentral.
GACGAACGCUGGCGGCGUGCUUAACACAUGCCAGUCGAACGGAAAGGCCCUGCUUUUGUGGGGUGCUCGAGUGGCGAACGGGUGAGUAACACGUGAGUAACCUGCCCUUGACUUUGGGAUAACUUCAGGAAACUGGGGCUAAUACCGGAGAGGAGCUCCUGCUGCAUGGUGGGGGUUGGAAAGUUUCGGCGGUUGGGGAUGGACUCGCGGCUUAUCAGCUUGUUGGUGGGGUAGUGGCUUACCAAGGCUUUGACGGGUAGCCGGCCUGAGAGGGUGACCGGCCACAAUGGGACUGAGAUACGGCCCAGACUCCUACGGGAGGCAGCAGUGGGGAAUAUUGCACAAUGGGCGGAAGCCUGAUGCAGCAACGCCGCGUGCGGGAUGACGGCCUUCGGGUUGUAAACCGCUUUCGCCUGUGACGAAGCGUGAGUGACGGUAAUGGGUAAAGAAGCACCGGCUAACUACGUG